This 497-nucleotide ribosomal RNA is filed under the name uncultured bacterium. Its description in RNAcentral is "partial 16S ribosomal RNA". It matches the Rfam family "Bacterial small subunit ribosomal RNA", at positions 28 to 507 of the family's 1533-position model. The record is from RNAcentral.
GAUGAACGCUGGCGGCGUGCCUAAUACAUGCAAGUCGAGCGAACGGACGAGGAGCUUGCUUUUCUGAUGUUAGCGGCGGACGGGUGAGUAACGCGUGGAUAACCUACCUAUCAGACUGGGAUAACUUCGGGACACCGGAGCUAAUACCAUAUAAUAUUUUGAACCGCAUGGUUCGAAAGUGAAAGACGGUCUUUCUGUCUCUUAUAGAUGGAUCCGCGCUGCAUUAGAUAGUUGGUAAGUUAACGGGUUACCAAGGCAACGAGGCAUAGCCGACCUGAGAGAGGGAUAGGCCACACUGGAACGUAGACAGGGUCCAGACUCCUACGGGAGGGAGCAGUAGGGAAUCGGACGCAAUGGGGGAAAGCCUGACGGAGCAAGGCCGAGUGAGUGAUGAAGGUCUUCGGAUCGUAAAAAUGUGUUAUUAGGGAAGAACAGCUGUGGCAGGAACUGUGCACAUCGUGACGGUAACGGAUAAGAAAGCAACGGCUAACUACGUG